RNAcentral lists this ribosomal RNA (534 nucleotides) under Trichosporon asahii. RNAcentral's name for it is "eukaryotic LSU rRNA". It matches the Rfam family "Eukaryotic large subunit ribosomal RNA", at positions 114 to 637 of the family's 3401-position model. The record is from RNAcentral. Lineage: Eukaryota; Fungi; Basidiomycota; Tremellomycetes; Trichosporonales; Trichosporonaceae.
UUUGAAAUCUGGCAGUCUUCGAUUGUCCGAGUUGUAAUCUAUAGAGGCGUUUUCCGUGCCGGACCGUGUCCAAGUCUCCUGGAAAGGAGUAUCAAAGAGGGUGAUAAUCCCGUACUUAACACGACCACCGGUGCUCUGUGAUACGUCUUCUACGAGUCGAGUUGUUUGGGAAUGCAGCUCAAAAUGGGUGGUGAAUUCCAUCUAAAGCUAAAUAUUGGCGAGAGACCGAUAGCGAACAAGUACCGUGAGGGAAAGAUGAAAAGCACUUUGGAAAGAGAGUUAAACAGUACGUGAAAUUGUUGAAAGGGAAACGAUUGAAGUCAGUCGUGUUCUUUGGAUUCAGCCAGUUCUGCUGGUCUACUUCCUUGGAACGGGUCAACAUCAGUUUUGUCCGGUGGAUAAAGGUAGUAGGAAUGUGACUUCUCCGGAAGUGUUAUAGCCUAUUAUCACAUACACUGGGUGAGACUGAGGACUGCAGCUCGCCUUUAUGGCCGGCCUUCGGGCACGUUCGAGCUUAGGAUGUUGACAUAAUGG